ACUAAAAUAAUUUAAUAAAAAUAUUGGCCUUGUAAGCCAAAUUUGGGCUCCCUUUUAGUG
Molecule: transfer RNA, 60 nt
Filed under: Cycetogamasus diviortus
Lineage: Eukaryota; Metazoa; Arthropoda; Arachnida; Mesostigmata; Parasitidae
Description: tRNA-Thr
Rfam family: tRNA
About the family: Transfer RNA (tRNA) molecules are approximately 80 nucleotides in length.
Source: RNAcentral